Molecule: ribosomal RNA, 253 nt
Filed under: uncultured bacterium
Lineage: Bacteria
Description: partial 16S ribosomal RNA
Rfam family: Bacterial small subunit ribosomal RNA
Source: RNAcentral
UACGUAGGGGGCGAGCGUUGUCCGGAAUCAUUGGGCGUAAAGAGCGUGUAGGCGGGCCGGAAGGUCUGGUGUGAAAGCCCGGGGCUCAACCCCGGAGGGUCACCGGAAACCGACGGUCUUGAAUCUGGAAGAGGAGAGUGGAAUUCCUGGUGUAGCGGUGGAAUGCGCAGAUAUCAGGAGGAACACCAAUGGCGAAGGCAGCUCUCUGGUACAUGAUUGACGCUGAGACGCGAAAGCGUGGGGAGCGAACAGG